RNAcentral lists this transfer RNA (77 nucleotides) under Candidatus Saccharimonadota bacterium. RNAcentral describes it as "tRNA-Arg". It matches the Rfam family "tRNA". From Rfam's summary of the family: Transfer RNA (tRNA) molecules are approximately 80 nucleotides in length. Their secondary structure includes four short double-helical elements and three loops (D, anti-codon, and T loops). Further hydrogen bonds mediate the characteristic L-shaped molecular structure. tRNAs have two regions of fundamental functional importance: the anti-codon, which is responsible for specific mRNA codon recognition, and the 3' end, to which the tRNAs corresponding amino acid is attached (by aminoacyl-tRNA synthetases). tRNAs cope with the degeneracy of the genetic code in two manners: having more than one tRNA (with a specific anti-codon) for a particular amino acid; and 'wobble' base-pairing, i.e. permitting non-standard base-pairing at the 3rd anti-codon position. Lineage: Bacteria; Candidatus Saccharimonadota. The record is from RNAcentral. RNAcentral also lists the same sequence under 1 other name.
GCCCCAGUAGCUCAGUGGAUUAGAGUAUGCGGCUUCUAUCCGUUUGGUCGGGGGUUCGAGUCCCUCCUGGGGCGCCA